GGUGGCUCAGUGGUAGAGUGCAUGCCUCGCAUGCAUGAGGCACUGGGUUCGAUUCCUCAGCACCA
RNAcentral lists this transfer RNA (65 nucleotides) under Dipodomys ordii (Ord's kangaroo rat). It matches the Rfam family "tRNA". Rfam says of the family: Transfer RNA (tRNA) molecules are approximately 80 nucleotides in length. Their secondary structure includes four short double-helical elements and three loops (D, anti-codon, and T loops). The record is from Rfam by way of RNAcentral. Lineage: Eukaryota; Metazoa; Chordata; Mammalia; Rodentia; Heteromyidae.